Molecule: ribosomal RNA, 700 nt
Filed under: uncultured bacterium
Lineage: Bacteria
Description: bacterial SSU rRNA
Rfam family: Bacterial small subunit ribosomal RNA
Source: RNAcentral
AGUGGCGGACGGGUGAGUAACGCGUAAGAAUCUAACUUCAGGACGGGGACAACAGUGGGAAACGACUGCUAAUACCCGAUGUGCCGCGAGGUGAAACCUAAUUAGCCUGAAGAAGAGCUUGCGUCUGAUUAGCUAGUUGGUGGGGUAAGAGCCUACCAAGGCGACGAUCAGUAGCUGGUCUGAGAGGAUGAGCAGCCACACUGGGACUGAGACACGGCCCAGACUCCUACGGGAGGCAGCAGUGGGGAAUUUUCCGCAAUGGGCGAAAGCCUGACGGAGCAACGCCGCGUGAGGGAGGAAGGUCUUUGGAUUGUAAACCUCUUUUCUCAAGGAAGAAGUUCUGACGGUACUUGAGGAAUCAGCCUCGGCUAACUCCGUGCCAGCAGCCGCGGUAAUACGGGGGAGGCAAGCGUUAUCCGGAAUUAUUGGGCGUAAAGCGUCCGCAGGUGGUCAGCCAAGUCUGCCGUCAAAUCAGGUUGCUUAACGACCUAAAGGCGGUGGAAACUGGCAGACUAGAGAGCAGUAGGGGUAGCAGGAAUUCCCAGUGUAGCGGUGAAAUGCGUAGAGAUUGGGAAGAACAUCGGUGGCGAAAGCGUGCUACUGGGCUGUAUCUGACACUCAGGGACGAAAGCUAGGGGAGCGAAAGGGAUUAGAUACCCCUGUAGUCCUAGCCGUAAACGGUGGAUACUAGGCGUGGCUU